Molecule: long non-coding RNA, 1126 nt
Organism: Homo sapiens (human)
Lineage: Eukaryota; Metazoa; Chordata; Mammalia; Primates; Hominidae
Source: Ensembl
CUCUCAUCUGUGUAAGAUGAAUCACUCCUGGAUCCAGACUGACUCCGAGGGCAGAGCCAGGUCCUGACGAGUAGAGUCGGAGUUUCGCCAUGUUGGCCAGGCUGGUCUGGAACUCCUGACCUCACGUGAUCUUCCCACCUCGGCCUCCCAAAGUGCUGUGAUUGCAGGCAUGAGCUACUGCACCUGCCCGAGAAUCUUUAAAAAAUACAGUAACCCCUCCAGCCAUGGUUGUCACAAUGGUGGGAAGAGGAGCAGAGAGACACUCUUCCUUUGAAGAUAAUACCACUUCUAAAUGGUUUACAACAAGGAGCUUCUGAGCAGAAUUGUCACACACAACUGCGCAGGACUGCGAUUGACCUUGCAUAACUGAAACCGUGGAUAAGAGAGAACAACAGUGCUUCCAAAUUGUGAUGAAUGCUCUGAAGGAGAAAAGCAAUAGAACAAUGAAAAAAGGUGUCUAUGGCUCUCCUAACCCUACCCAAGUUUCCAAAGGCUUGGGUGGGAAAGGAGCAGUUGGAAGCUGCGGACAUUGUGAAUCUAAGUACCUUACAACGGAGGCCAGCAGGAGGGAUUCCUCUGAGGGCUUCUUCUGCCUCAUGGACCUCACAGUCUUCCCUUUCUGGCAAGGACUCUUCUGGUGUGCACCAGUGUCCCAUAUUGGAUCCUGUGACUUAAUUAUUUUGUUGUUGAUUAGUAUAUUACUAAUUGAAGGAGAAAUGGAUUUCUUCACAAAUAUCAAACAGUCAAUAAGAAGAGAAAAAUGUCUGCAAAACUGGAUGACUUUCCUCACCUGUAAGGUGAGAAAGAAAUGGUUCUUUGCCUCUCAGAGUUGUGAGGAGUAAAGACACUAAUAUAGGUCAAGCACUGAGCACACAGAAGGUACCAAGGAAAGGAUAGAGUCACGGUGGCACACCCCAAAUCCUUGGGGCCAGAUGUGUUUCAGAAUUCAGACUUUGUCCAAUUUUAGAAAGGUUAUACAGCACAGAUACCGUAUAUUAUGUAAUAUUCCCAGUGGGGCCUGAGGAAACACUCUUAUUUCUGUAAUCAAACAUAUUAUUAUUUCUUUAGUCAAAUGUACGUGUGCCCACACUUGGCAUGAUAAAUAAAUACUAUAAAUAGCUUCAAA